CUUCCCAUUCCGAACAGAGAAGUUAAGCCCACUUGCGCCGAUGGUACUGCAAUGCAAUGCGGGAGAGUAGGAGGCCGCCAUCU
This 83-nucleotide ribosomal RNA is filed under the name Prevotella sp. P4-119. Lineage: Bacteria; Pseudomonadati; Bacteroidota; Bacteroidia; Bacteroidales; Prevotellaceae. RNAcentral also lists the same sequence under 2 other names. The record is from RNAcentral.